This 606-nucleotide unclassified non-coding RNA is filed under the name Mucor fragilis. RNAcentral describes it as "sequence contains 18S rRNA gene, ITS1, 5.8S rRNA gene, ITS2". The stretch from base 216 to 368 matches the Rfam family "5.8S ribosomal RNA". Lineage: Eukaryota; Fungi; Mucoromycota; Mucoromycetes; Mucorales; Mucoraceae. The record is from RNAcentral.
GACAUUAAUAAUCAAUAAUUUUGGCUUGUCCAUCAUUAUCUAUUUACUGUGAACUGUAUUAUUACUUGACGCUUGAGGGAUGUUCCAAUGCUAUAAGGAUAGGCACUGGAAAUGUUAACCGAGUCAUAAUCAAGCUUAGGCUUGGUAUCCUAUUAUUAUUUACCAAAAGAAUUCAGAAUUAAUAUUGUAACAUAGACGUAAAAAAUCUAUAAAACAACUUUUAACAACGGAUCUCUUGGUUCUCGCAUCGAUGAAGAACGUAGCAAAGUGCGAUAACUAGUGUGAAUUGCAUAUUCAGUGAAUCAUCGAGUCUUUGAACGCAACUUGCGCUCAUUGGUAUUCCAAUGAGCACGCCUGUUUCAGUAUCAAAACAAACCCUCUAUCCAACUUUUGUUGAAUAGGAUGACUGAGAGUCUCUUGAUCUAUUCUGAUCUUGAACCUCUUGAAAUAUACAAAGGCCUGAUCUUGUUUGAAUGCCUGAACUUUUUUUUAAUAUAAAGAGAAGCUCUUGCGAUAAAACUGUGCUGGGGCCUCCCAAAUAACACAUCUUUAAAUUUGAUCUGAAAUCAGGUGGGAUUACCCGCUGAACUUAAGCAUAUCAAUAAG